UGGGCUGUAGCCAAGUGGUAAGGCAACGGACUUUGACUCCGUCAUGCGUGUGUUCGAAUCCCACCAGCCCAGCCA
This 75-nucleotide transfer RNA is filed under the name Clostridiales bacterium. RNAcentral describes it as "tRNA-Gln". It matches the Rfam family "tRNA". Rfam says of the family: Transfer RNA (tRNA) molecules are approximately 80 nucleotides in length. Their secondary structure includes four short double-helical elements and three loops (D, anti-codon, and T loops). Lineage: Bacteria; Bacillati; Bacillota; Clostridia; Eubacteriales. The record is from RNAcentral. RNAcentral also lists the same sequence under 1 other name.